RNAcentral lists this long non-coding RNA (273 nucleotides) under Homo sapiens (human). RNAcentral's name for it is "non-protein coding lnc-SLCO4C1-3:1". Lineage: Eukaryota; Metazoa; Chordata; Mammalia; Primates; Hominidae. The record is from RNAcentral.
AUGCAAUCAGAACACCUUGCAGAAUUUUCAGAAUUCCUCAUUUUGAGCCUCUCAGGAGAUCCAGAACUGCAGCCCCUUCUUGGGCUGUUUCUGUCCAUGAACCUGGUCACAGUGCUUGGAAACCUGCUCAUUAUCCUGGCCAUCAGUUCUGACUCCCACCUCCACAAGCCUAUGUACUUCUUACUCUCCAAAUUGUCCAUGGCUGCCAUUUGUUUUGUCUUCACCAUGAUCCAAAAGAUGAUGGUAAACCUCAGGGCACAGAGCAAAGACAUC